Molecule: transfer RNA, 80 nt
Filed under: Myxococcales bacterium
Lineage: Bacteria; Pseudomonadati; Myxococcota; Myxococcia; Myxococcales
Description: tRNA-Leu
Rfam family: tRNA
About the family: Transfer RNA (tRNA) molecules are approximately 80 nucleotides in length. Their secondary structure includes four short double-helical elements and three loops (D, anti-codon, and T loops).
Source: RNAcentral
GCCCGGGUGGUGGAAUCGGCAGACACGGGGGACUUAAAAUUCCCUUCGCAAGAGUGCGGGUUCGAGUCCCGCCCCGGGCA